This is a long non-coding RNA of Schistocerca serialis cubense, 593 nucleotides long. RefSeq lists it as uncharacterized. Lineage: Eukaryota; Metazoa; Arthropoda; Insecta; Orthoptera; Acrididae. The record is from RefSeq and is a predicted model, not a curated record. The transcript has 2 exons.
CUGAAAUACACUGACGAUACCUCAUUCUGCGUGCGUGGUGUGUAAGAGAGAGAGAGAGAGAGAGGAGGGCGGGAGCAGGAAGAAGCACUAGCAAACUGUUCCACUCAGUUUCAUUCAAAAGUCAUGGGGAGACACGUCCUCGAUGGUCAUCAAGGCACAGUUCGAAGCGUGACAAUGAGUUUCCAUGCCGCAGACAUAUCUGGAGACGACCCUGGACAGCUGUGGUAUAAAAAACCGGCUGUCGCCUGCUUUACGACCAGACAACCAGUCGUGAUGAUCUGGGGCGCCAUUUGUUUUCACAGCAGAACCCUUUUGAUUGUCAUCCGCAGAACGACGAACGUUUCUGCUGCUCGUCUUCGUGCUUGGCAAACGCUACGUUGGCCAAUAAGGUCGCCGGAAUUAUGGGAAGCCCUCCAAUCAGCUCAGGAUUUUGACUAUCCAUCGCAUCGGCAGGACAUCCAAGAACUCUGUCAGGCACUGUCAAACCGAAUAACUGCUUGCACAAGGGCCAGAGGUGGACCAGCGCGUUAUUGACUCGCUCAGUUUGUGAAGCUCUUUCUCGAAUAAAUAAUCCAAUUUUUCUGGAACUGUAA